GUGCUGGCUUCAGUAGCACAUAUACUAAAAUUGGAACGAUAUAGAGAAGAUUAGCAUGACCUCUGCACAAGGAUGACACACAAAUUUGUAAAGUGUUCCAUAUUUAA
Molecule: small nuclear RNA, 107 nt
Organism: Gorilla gorilla gorilla (western lowland gorilla)
Lineage: Eukaryota; Metazoa; Chordata; Mammalia; Primates; Hominidae
Source: Ensembl